RNAcentral lists this ribosomal RNA (292 nucleotides) under uncultured eukaryote. RNAcentral's name for it is "partial 18S ribosomal RNA". It matches the Rfam family "Eukaryotic small subunit ribosomal RNA", at positions 6 to 323 of the family's 1831-position model. The record is from RNAcentral.
GGUUGAUCCUGCCAGUAGUCAUAUGCUUGUCUCAAAGAUUAAGCCAUGCAUGUCUAAGUAUAAGCUUGUAUACGGUGAGACUGCGAAUGGCUCAUUAAAACAGUUAUAGUUUAUUUGCUGAACGUGUAUAUGGAUAACCGUAGCAAUUCUAGAGCUAAUACAUGCUGGUUGCGCUGCUCUGCAGCGUAGUAUUUAUUAGAUAAAAUGCCAUUGGCGCGAGCCAUGGAGGAAUCACAGUAACUUGUCGGACUUUUCGAAGUGAAGCAUUCAAGUUUCUGCCCUAUCAGCUUUC